UACGGGGGGAGCAAGCGUUGUUCGGAUUUACUGGGCGUAAAGGGCGCGUAGGCGGUCAGCACAAGUCAGUUGUGAAAUCUCCGGGCUUAACUCGGAAAGGUCAACUGAUACUGUGUGACUAGAGUCCGGUAGGGGAGCACGGAAUUCCUGGUGUAGCGGUGAAAUGCGCAGAUAUCAGGAGGAACACCAGCGGCGAAGGCGGUGCUCUGGGCCGGAACUGACGCUGAGGAGCGAAAGCGUGGGUAGCGAACAGG
This 254-nucleotide ribosomal RNA is filed under the name uncultured bacterium. RNAcentral's name for it is "partial 16S ribosomal RNA". It matches the Rfam family "Bacterial small subunit ribosomal RNA", at positions 524 to 776 of the family's 1533-position model. The record is from RNAcentral.